Molecule: ribosomal RNA, 458 nt
Filed under: uncultured bacterium
Lineage: Bacteria
Description: partial 16S ribosomal RNA
Rfam family: Bacterial small subunit ribosomal RNA
Source: RNAcentral
CCUACGGGUGGCAGCAGUGAGGAAUAUUGGUCAAUGGCCGGAAGGCUGAACCAGCCAAGCCGCGUGAAGGACGAAGGUGCCAAGCAUUGUAAACUUCUUUUGUCAAGGGACAAAAUCAGGCUCGCGAGCCUGACCGAGGGUACUUGAAGAAAAAGCAUCGGCUAACUCCGUGCCAGCAGCCGCGGUAAUACGGAGGAUGCGAGCGUUAUCCGGAUUUAUUGGGUUUAAAGGGUGCGUAGGCGGACUGUUAAGUCAGCGGUAAAAGCCCGGGGCUCAACCCCGGCGAGCCGUUGAAACUGGUGGUAGUGAGAUGCAGAGAGGGAUGGGGAAGGGGAAGUGUAGCGGUGAAAGGUUUAGAUAUGGCGAAGAACUCCGAUUGCGAAGGAAGAAUACCGGGGGGGAUAUGACGCUGAGGAACGAAAGCGUGGGUAUCGAAAAGGAUUAGAUACCUGAGUAGU